RNAcentral lists this unclassified non-coding RNA (424 nucleotides) under Hevea brasiliensis (rubber tree). The record is from RNAcentral. Lineage: Eukaryota; Viridiplantae; Streptophyta; Magnoliopsida; Malpighiales; Euphorbiaceae.
UCCCAACUACGGAUAUAUAAGAGCCAAAAAUUGGAUUUAGGAUUACGGAACAAAAGGGCCUGUUAUGCAUUUUAGAAGAGGAGAAUAAUACUUACUAUUUGCCCGCCAAAAUAUUUCCGCUCUGUAAACUCUUUAUAACUCAAAGGGAAUUGGAAUGACGCUCUUUCUUUUUCUUUCUCCGGAAAAGGAGAGUCACUUACCCAGAAAAGAUGUUGCUAGGCAGGCGGUUCCCUCGGCCGCCUUUACUUGGAGGCCCCUUUCACUCCAUGAAGUAGCGAGGCUCGUUGAAGCAGACCUAGGCAGAAGGAAAAGAGGUCGUUCGCGCUCGAUAAUAGGGGUCGUUCCCCUGUUGACAAUGAAAGGCAUCUUAGUAGUCCACAGUAGAUGGCGUUCAGAACCAGCCGCGAAGAAUAUUUCCAUCACA